RNAcentral lists this ribosomal RNA (253 nucleotides) under uncultured bacterium. RNAcentral describes it as "partial 16S ribosomal RNA". It matches the Rfam family "Bacterial small subunit ribosomal RNA", at positions 524 to 776 of the family's 1533-position model. The record is from RNAcentral.
UACGGAGGGGGCAAGCGUUGCUCGGAAUCACUGGGCGUAAAGGGCGCGUAGGCGGGGAGGUAAGUCGGGUGUGAAAUCCCUCGGCCCAACCGAGGAACUGCGCCCGAGACUGCUUCUCUUGAGUCCCGGAGAGGAAGAUGGAAUUCCCGGUGUAGCGGUGAAAUGUGUAGAGAUCGGGAGGAACACCGGUGGCGAAGGCGGUCUUCUGGACGGUGACUGACGCUGAGACGCGAAAGCGUGGGGAGCAAACGGG